This is a long non-coding RNA of Bos taurus (domestic cattle), 473 nucleotides long. Lineage: Eukaryota; Metazoa; Chordata; Mammalia; Artiodactyla; Bovidae. The record is from Ensembl.
AGUUAAUUGCCCUGCAGUGAGGAUAUCUCACACCUCAGCCCAGGAAUACAGCAGAGAAAGGAUCCCCCACAGACAACCAGGUGCUUGCUCAACAAGACCAGCGCUCGCCCACCCGCCCGGGGACCAGCCUGCGGCGGCCUGCAGGAGCACGAGGCCGAGGUGGAGAAUCCGUGCAGCGGGCCCCGCGCCAUGUACAGCCCCGGCACGUCCACAGAGCCCCAGGAACCAUCAAGGGACUCCCGUCUCAGCAGCUGGGGACACGCCUGUAAGACCUGCAGGCCUUCCUUUUUGAUAACCAGAGGACAGCUUAUGAAUUCAGUGUGCAGUGUUCCAGUCAACUAAAUGGACUUGCCUUCAGCCAGGAGGGAGCCAGUUCUGCAGGACAGAACUAAUAUUGGGUCUCCCAGGAAGCUCUUCAUCAAAACAGCCCUUGUCCUUUUGUUUUUGUUUCUGAAUUAAAAAGAUGCCUUUGC